AAACACGCUAGGCUCCUUAAGUGAGUUCGCUCUCGACCUAAUUUUCAGAUUUCCUCCCAACUCAUCUCUCUUGAACGAACUCUGAAUUUUCCUCAUCUCUCUUCCUCCCUCGUCGUCACAGAUCUCUCUCUUCAUCUGUCUUUCUCUUUCUGCUAUGCGUCUCUCUCUUGACCAUUCGCUUCUUUUGCUUUGCAGGUCGUGAUCGAUAACGUCGUCUGCUCUCCACUGCGACUUUACUCAAGGUUUCUGAGCUCGCCAUCUCGUCGGGCCGUCGUGAUCAAACCCACCGAAACCCUAAGCUUGCUCCUUCUGCAACAAAACCUCCAAAGCCGCGAAGGCCUCUGCAACAGUUGGUCUGAAAUUUCUUUUCUUUUUUAUGUUCUUUAUGAU
Molecule: non-coding RNA, 390 nt
Organism: Prunus avium (sweet cherry)
Lineage: Eukaryota; Viridiplantae; Streptophyta; Magnoliopsida; Rosales; Rosaceae
Source: RefSeq, a predicted model, not a curated record